UGGCUCAUCGCGAAGCGGCACAUCCAUACAGACAGACGGAGGGGACUCUACUGUUUGCACACGAACCACCACUUCUGCAUCGAGACAACUAGCGACGCGAGCAGGAGUAGCUCAACGCUUUUUCCACCCCCUCCCCUCCGUUCUUAAGAAAGCACAUAAGAAGAUGCCGAAAUCGAAGCGCGCCAAGAUUGUUCCGCUCACCAAGACGCAGGCGAAGACGCGUGAGGACAAGGACAAGCUCAUUGAGCGCAUCCGCGAAGCCCUGGAGGACUACAGUGAUGUGUACACCUUUCAGCUCCACAACAUCCGCACCAACAUCCUGCAGCAGAUUCGCGAGGAGCGCGCCGGAGACAGCCGCAUCUUCCUGGGCAACAACAAGAUCAUGAUGAUCGCCAUCGGGCGAGAUGAGGAGAGCGCGCAGAAGCCGAACUUGCACAAGCUGUCGCCAUUUCUCACGGGACUGUGUGGGCUGCUCUUUACGAACCUCAGCAAGAAGGAGGUAAAGGAGUACUUUGCAACUGUUGGAGCCCCAGUCUACGCUCGCACCGGGCAGACGGCAACGGAGUCGCUCGUGCUCAAGGGAGGUCCGCUGCCGCAGUUUCCGCACAGCAUGUUUGACCACCUCGCCAAACUUGGUCUUCCCAUCAAGCUGGAUCGUGGGGUCAUUGUGCUGCUGCAAGACACCACCGUGUGCGAGCCGGGUGAUACGCUUAGCGCGGAGGCCGCGCAGCUCCUGAAGCUCUUUGGGGUUCAGUCUGCCGAGUUCAAGAUGGACCUGACAGCGCACUGGACAAACGGCGUAGCAAAGAAGGUCAGCAAUAGCGCAUCGAAGAGAAGUGGGAAGUAGCGAAAGUAUCGCCGUCCGGCAGCGUCCUUGCAGGGCGAAUGGAGCACGUCGGACGGAUUUUUGCCGAUCCCCCUAGUCUUGGGAGGCAUGGGACAGAGAACCAAGGAAGGGCGUCGCGGUGACCGCUUAGCGAACGGUUCCUCGACACCGCGUUCGGAAAGUUGUUUCAUCACGGUGCAAGUCUACACUGGUGUCUCUCUGUCUCAGCGCCUGUGUGUACAUGUGUGUGCGUGUGUGUGUGUUUGUUCAUGCGUGACUCGCGUCUAACUGGUAAUGAUGUGCACUUUUCUGUUGUGGGAGUGUUAAAAAAGCGAAUAAGCGCAUCUUCUCUCUUUGCUUACUGUUGGCUUGAUAAGCAAACUACCCAUUG
RNAcentral lists this unclassified non-coding RNA (1217 nucleotides) under Leishmania donovani. RNAcentral describes it as "gene:LdHU3.36.6560(CDS-product:60S_acidic_ribosom al_protein_putative)". Lineage: Eukaryota; Euglenozoa; Kinetoplastea; Trypanosomatida; Trypanosomatidae. The record is from RNAcentral.